Long non-coding RNA from Thrips palmi, 343 nucleotides. RefSeq lists it as uncharacterized. NCBI's taxonomy places the organism in Eukaryota, Metazoa, Arthropoda, Insecta, Thysanoptera, Thripidae. The record is from RefSeq and is a predicted model, not a curated record. The transcript has 2 exons.
GACACCACCUCACCUCACACAUUUUACGACUAGGUCGUGCAUGGCUGGUCCUCGAAAAGCAGUAUAAAAGAGACACCACAUUCGCGACACUACGUUAGUUCGGCAAAAUGAAGUUCAUCCAGACUGUUUUCCUCGCGGUUGCCCUCUGCUUGGUGGCAGUAAGUGCUACCCCCAUCCUGGACCACCUCUUGGACCCGCUGAAUGGUGUGUCUGCAGCACUGAAGAGCAUUAAUGGAGGCCGCUAAAGGAUCGUGCCUCCGUCUGCGCUGAGGAUGGCUGUUUUUUGGGAGCUCUCCUUAAGCUAUGCCGCGUCUUCACGCUUAAUUAAACACUACUAAAGGAA